UAAUGCUGCUAACAAAUUCCCUCCUGUUCCGAUUCAUCGUCCAAUCACAAGGAAGUUAGCUGCACAAAUCGCAAGCAAACAGCAGCAACCUGCAGUCGAGGUAACAAAGCCACCAGUCCUAGUGGCAC
Nicotiana tabacum (common tobacco) is the source of this 128-nucleotide non-coding RNA. The record is from RefSeq and is a predicted model, not a curated record. NCBI's taxonomy places the organism in Eukaryota, Viridiplantae, Streptophyta, Magnoliopsida, Solanales, Solanaceae.